This 4644-nucleotide long non-coding RNA is filed under the name Triticum aestivum (bread wheat). RNAcentral describes it as "long non-coding RNA (TAES_LNC018333)". Lineage: Eukaryota; Viridiplantae; Streptophyta; Magnoliopsida; Poales; Poaceae. The record is from RNAcentral.
AACGUGUAGUUUACCUAACACACAACCCCCUCUCCCUCCACACUUGAUGUUUGUUUAGGCAAAUUAUUUCUAAGUUUUUUCAAACAAACUAACCUAUAACUUACUCUGUUUGGUGAAUUGUUUGGACUAUGUACUAGCUAAUUGUAACCUGUGGAGAGAUAGUUAAGCAUAUAUGUUUUGCAAAAAGAGGACAUGUUGUAUCUUUUUACCGAGCUUAGAGGCACUUUCAGAGUUUCAGAACUGGGAUUCACUUUUGAUCAACCUGAGCACAAGUGUUUGGGGGGGAGGGGGCUUUUAGGCGAGAGAAAAAUAGUUUACAUGUUUUCUACCAACAAGCAAGGAAUAACACGUGAAUUUUUUCUGGUUUAUUAGUUCCCACUAGAGCAUCUAUUAUUCUGUCGAGGAAGAAGUAAAGACUAAUUGGUGUAUUUUUUGUGAUUGCCAACUGAUGAGACUGUCUGGGAAAGAAUAGUUCUCGAUGUAAUUCUUCAUGUGCCUACCACAUUGACAUUCUGUUCGGCUAUUUUUUCGGUUGUGUCGAAUAUAGUUUUCAAGCAAGUCCUGCACAUCAACCGCAAAUAAUAUAGUUUUCAAGCAAGUCCUGCUAUUUUUUCCGGUUGUGUCGAAUAUCUACCAUUUUUAGAGAAGUAAAAGUCAGGCAAAAUGACAUCUUAGGCACACAUUAGUAGGUGGUAGUGAGUAUUUUAGGAUGAUCAGGAUUAUGGAAAUAGACUUUCCAAAAAUCUGUUUGUCCACAAUAAUAGGCAAGUCACACAUUAAACUAUAGCAAGUCUCUUGCAGUUGUCAGGCAAAUCUUGAUUUUUGGAGUUGUCGCAAGUCACACGUAAAAUACUUUGCAAGGCCGAUAUAGUUGUCAAGCAAGUCCUGCUUUUCUCCUAUGCGCACCUUUUUUAAGGUGGUAUAAAAGGUUUUUGGGAUGUUCAGAAUGUGGAAACAGUAUUUUUUUCAAAACUUUGUUGUCCACAAAAUAAUAGGCAAGUCACGCAUAAAACUGAAGCAAGUCGUAUACAUGGUGUCAAGCAAAUCCUGAUCUUUGGUACUCAGAGCGGAAUCAAACCGAAACUACCUUUUCAUUUGUAUUCAUUUUCUUAGUAAUAAAUGGUUUUUUCGUUGUUGUCCAACAAAUAACAGCUCAAGAAGGAGUUUUCCGGGUGUGUGGAUGAUAGUUUGUUCAGCAGCAUGGACCAUGCCAUGAAAUUGGUGACGGCAAGACUCCCAGACUCAUAUGACAAAAAGGUCAGCCAUUCUUUUGAUCUUUUUGUCAUGUAAUUGACUAUUGCGGCUGCUAUGUUACUGCAAGGGAGCUCGUAAACUCAAUGAAGAGAAUGGUUUUCUCCUAUCCCCUGUUGUCGAAGUUGGCAUUGAGUAUAUAAUGAAAAAAUUGCCGCUAGACUCAAAGAAGGUGAUGCUUCUUUAGAUUCUCGGUAAAGUGGUGUAAGGUUCAGAGUUCAACACAAUCUAGCUCUAGUAGAAAUGGAUUUCAGUUACAAGGAGAGCAGUUAAUUUGGGAAUUUAUUGCUAGGGUUUCACUUGCUUAUACAGUGGCAGUAAGUUGCCUAAAAGAUGCCCAACAAGUUGUUUUAGAUCCAUAUGCAAUAUUGGUUAGUUUUUAUUUCUUUCACGUCGCAAAAAGGACACAACUUGCUUACACAGUGGUAGUAAGUUGCCUAAAAAAAGCAUCAAGUUGUUUUAGAUCCAUAUACAAGGCUCCUUAGUUUAGUUUUUUCCCACGUCACAAAAUGACACGACUUGCUUACACAGUGGUAAUAACUCGCCUAAAAGAUUCAAACAAGUUUUUUUAGAUCCAUAUGGAAGGUUCCUUAGUUUUUAUUUCUCUCACAUCACAAAAAGGACACAACUUGCUUACACAGUGGCAGUAAGUUGCCUAAAAGAUACCCAUCAAAUUGUUUCAGAUCCAUAUACAAGGUUCCUUAGUUUAAUUUUUCCCCAUGUCACAAAAUGACACGACUUGCUUACAUAGUGGCAGUAACUUGCCUAAAAGAUUACAAACAAGUUGUUUUAGAUCCAUAUGCAAGGUUCCUUAGUUUUUAUUUCUCCCACAUCACAAAAAGGACACAACUUGCUUAUAAAGUGGCAGUAAGUUGCCUAAACAACCUCAUGACCUUCCUACAGUUUUUCAGGGGAUACAUGAUUUGCUCAAUUCAACCCACUUUUUUUUUGCUUACAAGUGCUCAAGUAGUUGUUUACACCUUUUUUUUGCACAUUAAGUCUCGAGCACCCUGGAGAACACAGGAGUUGCUCACUGGUAACACUGUUUUCGCUUAAACAAAGCCUACAGGUUGCUACAAGUUGCUCACAUCCUUUUCUUUACGCACAUUAAGUCUCUUUUUUAGGAGCUCUGCCUUUUCAUUAAGAAGAUAAUUGACUAGUUAAUAAAAAAAUUGGUCGAAGACGAUACACAUCAAGUUCUAGCACGCACGAGCACACAGGAAUUGCUUACUGGCAAACACUGAUUUUACUUAAACAAACUUUGAAAAUUGUUGCUCUUUUUUUUUUUUCAACAUACUUGUAGUACAAAAAGCAACCUAAGAAAAACAUCGAGGGGUUUCGCUGGAUGUACAACAGCCAGUAGUUGGACAAAGAAAACUGAAACAGUUUUCAUGUACUGACAUGACUUGCCUAUUGUCAAUUUUGAUUUGCUUAAAAAACUACUACAGUUAUUCACACUUGUUUCUCCUACACAUCAAGUUCUAGCACGCACGAACACACAAGAGUUGCUUACUGCCAACACUGAUUUUGCUUAAAAACACCCUAGAACUUGUCUCCUCUUUUUUGUUUUCUCAACACACUCCUAGUCAAAAAGUAACCUAAGAAAAGUAUCAGGGGGUUUCUCCGGAUGUACAACAACCAGUAGUUGGAGAAAGGAAAAGGAAACAAUUUUCAUGUACUAUCAGGACUAGCUUUUUGUCAAUACUUGAUUUGCUUAAAACCCCGCUAUAGUUGCUCACUAAACCCGCUAUAUGCGAUAGAGGCGGGAUAGGGAGGUUGAAGAGGGGUGUGUGGGGUCUUAGGUUUCUAGGGCGAAUCGAUGGUUUUUGAAUGCGUGGGUGGUUUGUGGCAUGGGGAUGCGGGGGCUAGAAGCGUCGACAAUUUGAGAAGAAAGUGUCCAAAACUUGCCCAACGCAUGAUGGUUAGUUGCUAGAGAUACCGGCGCGGGUUGCCGAAAGAUCCUCUCCCGAGAGUACUGGGUUUAUUUUGCCCAAAACUUGCCCGAGCCAUGCUAGUUAGUUGCUAGAGAGGCUGGCAUGAGCGGCCCAAAGAUACAUUUUAGAAACAAAUUCAUUUAUAAUUGGAACCAAAGUUUCCAUUUACAAUAGGAUAUGUUGUCUGCAUAUAAACAUUACUUGCCUAAAUCACCAUUAAAAGUUGCCCCAUAUACCACCUGAAUUGCUUCCUAUACAAUUGGUAGCCAACUUAGAAGGCAUGGGAUAAAUAUGUAAUCGCGAUAGGCAAUCUACUGCAAAGUUGCUUUCUGUAGCACCAAAGUUGCCCCAGAUGCCAGCAAAGUUGCUUGAAAAAAAAGUUCAUCGAAACAUAUCCAUAUGAGAUCUUGUUUUGAAGAUCUUGCUGCGAGAAACCUAAUGGUGAAAACAGAAAUUAGUUUUGACGCUCGGUUUAAAAGUUGCAGCUUUUUGUAUUUGCUUGGAAUGAAAUUAAAUGCAUGUGAUGCAUUUCUAACUUGUUUGCCGCGUGCUAUUGCAGGAAGGAGUUACAGGAGAUGGAACCACUGGUGGGGCGGUAGAAUUUUUUUCUGUUGAGGGCGAUAGUGUGUAGGAGCAACCUUUCCUUUUUAGGAUAAUGUGUGGACAUGUAUUUACUUUUUUGGGGUGUGUGCUCCAGGGGACUAGCCAGCCAACGGUUGCUGGCUAGCCGUCGUUGAAAGGUGUAGAAGCAACGACAAUCUAGAGACCGUAAUAAUUUCUGUGUUUUGCAUUCCCAGGCAGAGUAACAAUGAAUCGCCACUAUUGUUUGGAUAGGAAGAGGGAGGGGAGAAGGAAUCUGCAUUUUUGAGUGCAAGCGGGGCAAGUUGCAAGCAGCACUUAGACAAGCACAUGUCAAUAGGGACAAAACUCUUCUCAUUUUUCGUGCAAAACGGAUCCAUGGUUUUUUUAGGUGAUACAAUAUUAAACCAUAGACACAGUGUGCGUUUUCUUUUGUCACUGCCCUCGCAACGGCGGCGGAACCCCAACAGCUCCACCUUCUUGUGGCACGCCGCGCACCGGUUUGCUGCCACCGCCGGCUGUUUCACGGAUGGUGGCACGGAGCGGUCAAAAACUGUUAAGUAUGUGAUUUGCUUGUUAUUUUUUAGGCAAACUCUGUGACUUUGCAUGUUUCUGAACGUGUAGUUUACCUAACACACAACCCCCUCUCCCUCCACACUUGAUGUUUGUUUAGGCAAAUUAUUUCUAAGUUUUUUCAAACAAACUAACCUAUAACUUACUCUGUUUGGUGAAUUGUUUGGACUAUGUACUAGCUAAUUGUAACCUGUGGAGAGAUAGUCAAGCAUAUAUGUUUUGCAAGAAGAGGACAUGUUGUAUCUUUUUACCGAGCUUAGAGGCACUUUCAGAGUUUUAGAACUGGGAUUCACUUUUGAUCAACNNN